AUUUUUGGCUCCUUUGGAAAUGUUACAGAGAGAGGUUUCCCUGCUAGUUGGAUUGUUGGUUUGUGACUUCUGCCAUUUCAGUUUAUAGAAUCUGAUGAUUUGGGGGAGAUUACAUCGAGGAAAGUGAAAGGAUAUGUUGAUCGGUCAUUGGAAGCUGCAUGCAUGAGGGUGAUGGAUAAUAUAUAUUUCGGACCUGAAGUAGAUAGGACACAUCCCUUGGCUCUCCUUGCAAGUGAGCUUAAAAUU
Molecule: non-coding RNA, 246 nt
Organism: Coffea arabica (coffee)
Lineage: Eukaryota; Viridiplantae; Streptophyta; Magnoliopsida; Gentianales; Rubiaceae
Source: RefSeq, a predicted model, not a curated record